RNAcentral lists this transfer RNA (68 nucleotides) under Marmota monax (woodchuck). RNAcentral describes it as "tRNA.Ala". The stretch from base 5 to 65 matches the Rfam family "tRNA", at positions 6 to 65 of the family's 71-position model. From Rfam's summary of the family: Transfer RNA (tRNA) molecules are approximately 80 nucleotides in length. Lineage: Eukaryota; Metazoa; Chordata; Mammalia; Rodentia; Sciuridae. The record is from RNAcentral.
GGAUUGUAGCUCAGUGGAAGAGCACACGCUUAGCAUGUAUGAGGCACUGGGUUCAAUUCUCAGCACCG